GACGAACGCUGGCGGCGUGCCUAAUACAUGCAAGUAGAACGCACAGUUUAUACCGUAGCUUGCUACACCAUAGACUGUGAGUUGCGAACGGGUGAGUAACGCGUAGGUAACCUGCCUGGUAGCGGGGGAUAACUAUUGGAAACGAUAGCUAAUACCGCAUAAUAUUAAUUAUUGCAUGAUAAUUAAUUGAAAGGUGCAAUUGCACCACUACCAGAUGGACCUGCGUUGUAUUAGCUAGUAGGUGAGGUAACGGCUCACCUAGGCGACGAUACAUAGCCGACCUGAGAGGGUGAUCGGCCACACUGGGACUGAGACACGGCCCAGACUCCUACGGGAGGCAGCAGUAGGGAAUCUUCGGCAAUGGACGAAAGUCUGACCGAGCAACGCCGCGUGAGUGAAGAGGGUUUUCGGAUCGUAAAGCCCUGUUGUAAGAGAAGAACGGGUGUGAGAGUGGAAAGUUCACACUGUGACGGUAUCUUACCAGAAAGGGACGGCUAACUACGUG
RNAcentral lists this ribosomal RNA (505 nucleotides) under uncultured bacterium. RNAcentral describes it as "partial 16S ribosomal RNA". It matches the Rfam family "Bacterial small subunit ribosomal RNA", at positions 28 to 507 of the family's 1533-position model. The record is from RNAcentral.